GCGGCUGCAUCAUAUUGAAACAUCGGUUCCUGUAUGAUCACCGAAGUUAAGCAAUGUCAAGCCUGGUUAGUACCCAGAUGGUUGACUGCUUGGGAAUACCAGGGAGCUGUCAG
This is a non-coding RNA of Acanthosepion pharaonis, 113 nucleotides long. NCBI's taxonomy places the organism in Eukaryota, Metazoa, Mollusca, Cephalopoda, Sepiida, Sepiidae. The record is from the annotation of a GenBank genome assembly.